Molecule: ribosomal RNA, 433 nt
Filed under: uncultured bacterium
Lineage: Bacteria
Description: partial 16S ribosomal RNA
Rfam family: Bacterial small subunit ribosomal RNA
Source: RNAcentral
AACGAACGCUGGCGGCAUGCCUAACACAUGCAAGUCGAACGAUACCUUCGGGUCUAGUGGCGCACGGGUGCGUAACGCGUGGGAACCUGCCCUUAGGUUCGGAAUAACUCCCCGAAAGGGGUGCUAAUACCGGAUAAUGUCUUCGGACCAAAGAUUUAUCGCCUUUGGAUGGGCCCGCGUUGGCUUAGCUAGUUGGUAGGGUAAAAGGCUACCAAGGCGACGAUCCAUAGCUGGUCUGAGAGGAUGAUCAGCCACACUGGGACUGAGACACGGCCCAGACUCCUACGGGAGGCAGCAGUGGGGAAUAUUGGACAAUGGGCGAAAGCCUGAGCGAGCGAUGCCGAGUGAGUGAUGAAGGCCUUAGGGUUGUAAAGCUCUUUUACCCGGGAUGAUAAUGACAGUACCGGGAGAAUAAGCUCCGGCUAACUCCGUG